UACGUAGGUGGCAAGCGUUGUCCGGAAUUAUUGGGCGUAAAGGGCGCGUAGGCGGCCAUGCGUGUCUUCCGUGAAAUCCCUCGGCUUAACUGAGGACGUGCGGAAGAAACUGCAAGGCUCGAGUCCGGGAGAGGGGGGUGGAAUUCCCAGUGUAGCGGUGAAAUGCGUAGAUAUUGGGAGGAACACCGGUGGCGAAGGCGGCCCCCUGGACCGGUACUGACGCUGAGGCGCGAAAGCGUGGGUAGCAAACGGG
Molecule: ribosomal RNA, 253 nt
Filed under: uncultured bacterium
Lineage: Bacteria
Description: partial 16S ribosomal RNA
Rfam family: Bacterial small subunit ribosomal RNA
Source: RNAcentral